This 400-nucleotide ribosomal RNA is filed under the name uncultured bacterium. Its description in RNAcentral is "bacterial SSU rRNA". It matches the Rfam family "Bacterial small subunit ribosomal RNA", at positions 355 to 772 of the family's 1533-position model. The record is from RNAcentral.
UGAGGAAUAUUGGACAAUGGGGGCAACCCUGAUCCAGCCAUGCCGCGUGAGUGAUGAAGGCCUUCGGGUUGUAAAGCUCUUUUACCCCUGACGAUAAUGACGGUAAGGGGAGAAAAAGCCACGGCUAACUUCGUGCCAGCAGCCGCGGUAAUACGAAGGUGGCAAGCGUUGUUCGGAUUUACUGGGCGUAAAGAGUGCGUAGGCGGUUUAACAAGUCAGGAGUGAAAGCCCAAGGCUCAACCUUGGAAUUGCUUUUGAAACUGUUUUACUUGAAUCCGGUAGAGGUUGGCGGAAUUCCGAGUGUAGAGGUGAAAUUCGCAGAUAUUCGGAGGAACACCAGUGGCGUAAGCGGCCAACUGGACCGGUAUUGACGCUGAGGCACGAAAGCGUGGGUAGCAAA